RNAcentral lists this ribosomal RNA (228 nucleotides) under uncultured bacterium. RNAcentral describes it as "partial 16S ribosomal RNA". It matches the Rfam family "Bacterial small subunit ribosomal RNA", at positions 103 to 334 of the family's 1533-position model. The record is from RNAcentral.
CGGGUGAGUAACGCGUAGGAAUCUACCCAGUAGUGGGGGACAACAUGGUGAAAACCAUGCUAAUGCCGCAUACGCCCUAUGGGGGAAAGCGGGGGACCUUCGGGCCUCGCGCUAUUGGAUGAGCCUGCGUCGGAUUAGCUUGUUGGUGAGGUAAAGGCUCACCAAGGCGACGAUCCGUAGCUGGUCUGGGAGGAUGAUCAGCCACACUGGAACUGAGACACGGUCCAG